RNAcentral lists this ribosomal RNA (468 nucleotides) under uncultured bacterium. Its description in RNAcentral is "partial 16S ribosomal RNA". It matches the Rfam family "Bacterial small subunit ribosomal RNA", at positions 28 to 507 of the family's 1533-position model. The record is from RNAcentral.
GACGAACGCUGGCGGCGUGCUUAACACAUGCAAGUCGAACGGAAAGGCCCUGCUUUUGUGGGGUGCUCGAGUGGCGAACGGGUGAGUAACACGUGAGUAACCUGCCCUUGACUUUGGGAUAACUUCAGGAAACUGGGGCUAAUACCGGAUAGGAGCUCCUGCUGCAUGGUGGGGGUUGGAAAGUUUCGGCGGUUGGGGAUGGACUCGCAGCUUAUCAGCUUGUUGGUGGGGUAGUUGCUUACUAAGGCUUUGACGGGUAGCCGGCCUGAGAGGGUGACCGGCCACAUUGGGACUGAGAUACGGCCCAGACUCCUACGGGAGGCAGCAGUGGGGAAUAUUGCACAAUGGGCGGAAGCCUGAUGCAGCAACGCCGCGUGCGGGAUGACGGCCUUCGGGUUGUAAACCGCUUUCGCCUGUGACGAAGCGUGAGUGACGGUAAUGGGUAAAGAAGCACCGGCUAACUACGUG